AUUGAACGCUGGCGGCAGGCUUAACACAUGCAAGUCGAGCGGUAACAGGGGGAGCUUGCUCCCUGCUGACGAGCGGCGGACGGGUGAGUAAUGCAUAGGAAUCUGCCCGGUAGUUGGGGAUAGCCCGGGGAAACCCGGAUUAAUACCGAAUACGCCCUACGGGGGAAAGCAGGGGAUCUUCGGACCUUGCGCUAUCGGAUGAGCCUAUGUCGGAUUAGCUGGUUGGUGGGGUAACGGCCUACCAAGGCGACGAUCCGUAGCUGGUCUGAGAGGAUGAUCAGCCACAUCGGGACUGAGACACGGCCCGAACUCCUACGGGAGGCAGCAGUGGGGAAUAUUGGACAAUGGGGGCAACCCUGAUCCAGCCAUGCCGCGUGUGUGAAGAAGGCUUUCGGGUUGUAAAGCACUUUCAGUGAGGAGGAAAACCUGAUGGUUAAUAUCCAUGAGGCUUGACGUUACUCACAGAAGAAGCACCGGCUAACUCCGUGCCAGCAGCCGCGGUAAUACGGAGGGUGCGAGCGUUAAUCGGAAUUACUGGGCGUAAAGCGCGCGUAGGUGGUUUGGUAAGCGAGAUGUGAAAGCCCCGGGCUUAACCUGGGAACGGCAUUUCGAACUGUCAGACUAGAGUGUGGUAGAGGGUAGUGGAAUUUCCUG
This 654-nucleotide ribosomal RNA is filed under the name uncultured bacterium. Its description in RNAcentral is "bacterial SSU rRNA". It matches the Rfam family "Bacterial small subunit ribosomal RNA", at positions 28 to 673 of the family's 1533-position model. The record is from RNAcentral.